Molecule: ribosomal RNA, 253 nt
Filed under: uncultured bacterium
Lineage: Bacteria
Description: partial 16S ribosomal RNA
Rfam family: Bacterial small subunit ribosomal RNA
Source: RNAcentral
UACAGAGGUCCCAAGCGUUGUUCGGAUUCACUGGGCGUAAAGGGUGCGUAGGUGGCGAGGUAAGUUUGAUGUGAAAUCUCCGGGCUUAACCCGGAAACUGCAUUGAAUACUAUCUUGCUCGAGGUUUGGAAGGGGGACUGGAAUUCUCGGUGUAGCAGUGAAAUGCGUAGAUAUCGAGAGGAACACCAGUGGCGAAGGCGAGUCCCUGGACAACACCUGACACUGAGGCACGAAAGCUAGGGGAGCAAACAGG